UAACGCGUAGGUAACCUGCCUUGUAGCGGGGGAUAACUAUUGGAAACGAUAGCUAAUACCGCAUAACAAUGGGUGACUCAUGUCAUUUAUUUGAAAGGGGCAAAUGCUCCACUACAAGAUGGACCUGCGUUGUGUUAGCUAGUAGGUGAGGUAACGGCUCACCUAGGCGACGAUACAUAGCCGACCUGAGAGGGUGAUCGGCCACACUGGGACUGAGACACGGCCCAG
Molecule: ribosomal RNA, 228 nt
Filed under: uncultured bacterium
Lineage: Bacteria
Description: partial 16S ribosomal RNA
Rfam family: Bacterial small subunit ribosomal RNA
Source: RNAcentral